Molecule: non-coding RNA, 112 nt
Organism: Acanthosepion pharaonis
Lineage: Eukaryota; Metazoa; Mollusca; Cephalopoda; Sepiida; Sepiidae
Source: the annotation of a GenBank genome assembly
AUGGCCAUAUCAUGCUGAAACACUGGUUCUCGUACAAUCACUGAAGUUAAGCAAUGUUGAGCCUGGUUAGUAACUAGAUUGGUAACCACUUUGGAAUAUCAGAUGUUGUAAG